AACGAACGCUGGCGGCAGGCCUAACACAUGCAAGUCGAGCGCUUCCUUCGGGAAGAGCGGCGGACGGGUUAGUAACGCGUGGGAACGUGCCCUUCUCUAAGGAAUAGCCACUGGAAACGGUGAGUAAUACCUUAUACGCCCUUCGGGGGAAAGAUUUAUCGGAGAAGGAUCGGCCCGCGUUAGAACUUAGAGUAGGUUGGUGGGGUUAACGGCCUACCAAAGUCUACGAUCGUAUAGCUGGUUUUAGAGGAUGAUCAGCAACACUGGGACUGAGACACGG
RNAcentral lists this ribosomal RNA (280 nucleotides) under uncultured bacterium. RNAcentral's name for it is "partial 16S ribosomal RNA". It matches the Rfam family "Bacterial small subunit ribosomal RNA", at positions 29 to 329 of the family's 1533-position model. The record is from RNAcentral.